AGCGAACGCUGGCGGCAGGCUUAACACAUGCAAGUCGAGCGCCCCGCAAGGGGAGCGGCAGACGGGAGAGUAACACGUGGGAACGUACCCUUUAGUUCGGAACAACCCAGGGAAACUUGGGCUAAUACCGGAUACGUCCGUAAGGAGAAAGAUUUAUCGCUAAAGGAUCGGCCCGCGUCUGAUUAGCUAGUUGGUGAGGUAACGGCUCACCAAGGCGACGAUCAGUAGCUGGUCUGAGAGGAUGAUCAGCCUCACUGGGACUGAGACACGGCCCAGACUCCUACGGGAGGCAGCAGUGGGGAAUAUUGGAAGAUGGGCGCAAGCCUGAGCCAGCCAUGCCGCGUGUGUGAGGAAGGCCCUAGGGUUGUAAAGCCCUUUCGGCGGGGAAGAUAAUGACGGUACCCGCAGAAGAAGCCCCGGCUAACUUCGUGCCAGCAGCCGCAGUAA
Molecule: ribosomal RNA, 447 nt
Filed under: uncultured bacterium
Lineage: Bacteria
Description: partial 16S ribosomal RNA
Rfam family: Bacterial small subunit ribosomal RNA
Source: RNAcentral